GAUGAACGCUGGCGGCGUGCCUAAUACAUGCAAGUCGAGCGAACAGACGAGGAGCUUGCUCCUCUGACGUUAGCGGCGGACGGGUGAGUAACACGUGGAUAACCUACCUAUAAGACUGGGAUAACUUCGGGAAACCGGAGCUAAUACCGGAUAAUAUAUUGAACCGCAUGGUUCAAUAGUGAAAGACGGUUUUGCUGUCACUUAUAGAUGGAUCCGCGCCGCAUUAGCUAGUUGGUAAGGUAACGGCUUACCAAGGCAACGAUGCGUAGCCGACCUGAGAGGGGGAUCGGCCACACUGGAACUGAGACACGGUCCAGACUCCUGCGGGAGGCAGCAGUAGGGAAUCUUCCGCAAUGGUCGAAAGCCUGACGGAGCAACGCCGCGUGAGUGAUGAAGGUCUUCGGAUCGUAAAACUCUGUUAUUAGGGAAGAACAAAUGUGUAAGUAACUAUGCACGUCUUGACGGUACCUAAUCAGAAAGCCACGGCUAACUACGUG
This 497-nucleotide ribosomal RNA is filed under the name uncultured bacterium. Its description in RNAcentral is "partial 16S ribosomal RNA". It matches the Rfam family "Bacterial small subunit ribosomal RNA", at positions 28 to 507 of the family's 1533-position model. The record is from RNAcentral.